GUAGGGUGCAAGCGUUGUCCGGAUUCAUUGGGCGUAAAGAGCUCGUAGGCGGCUUGCUAAGUCAGGUGUGAAACCUCCAGGCUCAACCUGGAGCCGCCACCUGAUACUGGUAUGGCUGGAGUCCGGUAGGGGACCACGGAAUUCCUGGUGUAGCGGUGAAAUGCGCAGAUAUCAGGAGGAACACCGGUGGCGAAGGCGGUGGUCUGGGCCGGCACUGACGCUGAGGAGCGAAAGCGUGGGGAGCGAACAGGAUUAGAUACCCUGGUAGUCCACGCCGUAAACGUUGGGCACUAGGUGUGGCGGGUAUCGAUCCCUGCCGUGCCGAAGCUAACGCAUUAAGCACUCCGCCUGGGGAGUACGGUCGCAAGGCUG
This 372-nucleotide ribosomal RNA is filed under the name uncultured bacterium. Its description in RNAcentral is "bacterial SSU rRNA". It matches the Rfam family "Bacterial small subunit ribosomal RNA", at positions 527 to 896 of the family's 1533-position model. The record is from RNAcentral.